Molecule: ribosomal RNA, 476 nt
Filed under: Epinephelus itajara (Atlantic goliath grouper)
Lineage: Eukaryota; Metazoa; Chordata; Actinopteri; Perciformes; Serranidae
Description: partial large subunit ribosomal RNA
Rfam family: Bacterial large subunit ribosomal RNA
Source: RNAcentral
AGGUCCCGCCUGCCCUGUGACUAUAUGUUUAACGGCCGCGGUAUUUUGACCGUGCGAAGGUAGCGCAAUCACUUGUCUUUUAAAUGGGGACCUGUAUGAAUGGCAUAACGAGGGCUUAACUGUCUCCUUUUUCAAGUCAGUGAAAUUGAUCUCCCCGUGCAGAAGCGGGGAUAGACACAUAAGACGAGAAGACCCUGUGGAGCUUCAGACACUAAAGCAGAUCAGUAUUAAUACCCUGAACAUAAGGCACGAAUAAGAUGAUUCCUGCCCUAAUGCUUCGGUUGGGGCGACCGCGGAGAAAUAUAUAACCCCCGCAAGGACUGAAUGUACUACAUUCACAACCAAGAGUGACAACUCUAAUUAACAGAACUUCUGACCAAUAAGAUCCGGCAAUGCCGAUUAAUGAACCAAGUUACCCCAGGGAUAACAGCGCAAUCUCCUCUUAGAGUCCAUAUCGACGAGGAGGUUUACGACCU